CCUUUAUUGAACACACACAUGACACACCAAACACAAGUUAACAAGUGUCUCUGCUCCAUUUCAUCAUUGUAACUUGAAAGCAAUAUAAUUACUGACCGUCAGGUGCAACCAGAGUAGAGCACUGUGUUGUGCAUAUCCAGUAAAACUAUGCGCUCAUUUGGAAUAUAGCUUUCGUUUCCUCUUUCUGCCACCCCCCCUGCCUCUCGGCCCAAAUAAAAGGGUAAACAGAUAUGCUUCCUUGUCAUCUCUCUUCAAGAUGGAUUUUGUCACCGUAGCAUUCGUUGGUGCAAUUGGUGCUGGUGCUGCCGUGGUCGCUGCCCCUGUACUUCUGGGUGCCUUUGGAUUUGGCGCAGCAGGAAUCACCGCUGGGUCAUGGGCUGCAGGCUGGAUGUCCUCAGUUGCCAUUGCAAACGGAGGUGGGGUGCUAGCGGGCACGGCGGUGGCCGUCGGGCAAGGAAUUGGUGCGGCUGGUCUGGGGGCAGUGGCUACUACUGUAACUGCUAUUGUAGGAGCAGCAGUUGCAGCUGGAACUGCUGUUGUAGUUGCAGCUGGAACUGCUUCUUAAUCGAUAUGCUCUCAUCUUGGCAAACUGAUUUGUUGAUUCGUUUUUUUGCAUUAGGCUACCCAAAGGCAUUUUCUCAAGUUUUCACCAUUUCCCUUAGCAAUCCUUGCUAACAGUGGAAUGGGGCUGGUGACCAUAUCAUUUUAAGAAUGUGAAUGAAAUUCUGAAGCCAAAUUUGUUUCUCGCUGAUUAUGCCCACGCAAUGUGGCCAUCUAAACAAAAUGUCUGAAUUUCAAAGCUGUCCUGAACACAGCAAUAAUAGAACUGGGUAGUUGGAAUACCUUUGCUAUAACAAUAAACACCUGAACUGGUUACCUUUAAUUUCCCAAUGCAGAGCCCUGAACAUUCUUUAUUUUGUUAUGGAAAUUCAUAUGAUGUGGGUCAGAUGAGGCUACUGACAGUUAAAAAAAAUAAUAAAAAUGGAAGAGGAUGUUUUAGUGUGCCGUCUCAUCAAAUGAAAACACUAUUAAGUUGAAAAACCCCACACUGGCAAUAUGUUUAGUUUGACAUCCAAAAGGUUAGUUGAAUGAAAGUUAUUUGGUUACAUUACAACUUACGGCAUUUCCCCCCCUGAAAUAAUUCCAUAUGACAAAAAAUUAAAAAUAGCUUGUGUGACAACUACAUUUAUCUUAAUGGGCUGAUUUCUGAAACAUGCUUUGCGCAGCAAAGAGAGCCGACUUAAUCUGAUUCCGCAUAAA
Gadus chalcogrammus (walleye pollock) is the source of this 1260-nucleotide long non-coding RNA. RefSeq lists it as uncharacterized. The record is from RefSeq and is a predicted model, not a curated record. Lineage: Eukaryota; Metazoa; Chordata; Actinopteri; Gadiformes; Gadidae. The transcript has 4 exons.